GUCUAUGGCCAUACCACCCUGAACGCGCCUGAUCUCAUCUGAUCUCGGAAGCUAAGCAGGGUUGGGCCUUGUUUGUACUUGGAUGGGAGACAAAGAUAUACC
Molecule: non-coding RNA, 102 nt
Organism: Heterocephalus glaber (naked mole-rat)
Lineage: Eukaryota; Metazoa; Chordata; Mammalia; Rodentia; Bathyergidae
Source: Rfam